RNAcentral lists this ribosomal RNA (264 nucleotides) under uncultured archaeon. Its description in RNAcentral is "partial 16S ribosomal RNA". It matches the Rfam family "Archaeal small subunit ribosomal RNA", at positions 714 to 982 of the family's 1478-position model. The record is from RNAcentral.
AGACGUCUACAUUAGAUACCCCCGUAGUCCCAGCCGUAAACUAUGCGCGUUAGGUGUAUCGGUGACCACGAGUUACCGAGGUGCCGAAGGGAAACCGUGAAACGUGCCGCCUGGGAAGUACGGUCGCAAGGCUGAAACUUAAAGGAAUUGGCGGGGAGCACCACAACGGGUGGAGCCUGCGGUUUAAUUGGACUCAACGCCGGGAAGCUCACCGGAUAAGACAGCAGAAUGAUUGCCGGGCUGAAGACCCUGCAUGACUAGCUG